GCAGAAGCCCGCCACCAGGACUCUCAGGUCUCCACUGGCCACAGGAGGCCCUGCCUGGGCCUCAGUUUCCCAGACGGACACUGAGACUUCAGAGGAGCCUGGAUCCAGGGGAAUAACUGCAGCUACAGAACCCGAGCGAGAGAGCAGGGUGCCACCUGACUGUCCCGGGGCCCCUGGCUGAUCAGCAACAGAGGCAAGGAGUAGGGGCGUCCGGCUCCCCCCAAGGCCAUCUCCAUGGAAGCAGAGAUGACGCCUGUCACUGGCAGAAGCUGGAGCAGUGGGCAGGCACAGUGCCCUCUGGGCGGGAAGGGUCCCGGGAACUUCUGGCGGUGGUGGGAAAGGAACACCAGCUCUUCCUCACUCUGCACAAGUCCCAGGUAAGUCCAUGCGGCCCUGCCCCGCUCAGUUCUGUCUGAAGGCCUGAAGAUGGGCAUCAGCGUCACAGCAUCCUGCCCUCUCAGAGGCAGAACCUCGGAGACACCCCAUCCUCCCUUCCCAGCCCCAGCCCCUCUUGGGACAGGGCCGGCAGGGUUCUCUCCAAAGCGGCAGACUCCCCAAGGAGGGCCAAGGCCCCAUCCCAGCCCUUCCAUUCGUGCAGCACUCGAUCUUUGUCUGCGGAACCGGCCCGGGGGCGACGUGCUGCCUCCCCAGCUGGACCAUGAGCGCAGGACCAGCCGGCUAGGGUGGAUGCAGGGAAAUUUCCCCCCAUCCACUGUGCCCGCAUGAGACAGCAGC
Molecule: long non-coding RNA, 735 nt
Organism: Orcinus orca (killer whale)
Lineage: Eukaryota; Metazoa; Chordata; Mammalia; Artiodactyla; Delphinidae
Exons: 4
Source: RefSeq, a predicted model, not a curated record